This 605-nucleotide ribosomal RNA is filed under the name uncultured bacterium. RNAcentral describes it as "bacterial SSU rRNA". It matches the Rfam family "Bacterial small subunit ribosomal RNA", at positions 202 to 797 of the family's 1533-position model. The record is from RNAcentral.
AGAUGGCGUAAGCUAUCGCUUUUGGAUGGACCCGCGGCGUAUUAGCUAGUUGGUGAGGUAACGGCUCACCAAGGCGAUGAUACGUAGCCGAACUGAGAGGUUGAUCGGCCACAUUGGGACUGAGACACGGCCCAAACUCCUACGGGAGGCAGCAGUAGGGAAUCUUCCACAAUGGACGCAAGUCUGAUGGAGCAACGCCGCGUGAGUGAAGAAGGCUUUCGGGUCGUAAAACUCUGUUGUUGGAGAAGAAUGGUCGGCAGAGUAACUGUUGUCGGCGUGACGGUAUCCAACCAGAAAGCCACGGCUAACUACGUGCCAGCAGCCGCGGUAAUACGUAGGUGGCAAGCGUUAUCCGGAUUUAUUGGGCGUAAAGCGAGCGCAGGCGGUUUUUUAAGUCUGAUGUGAAAGCCCUCGGCUUAACCGAGGAAGCGCAUCGGAAACUGAGAAACUUGAGUGCAGAAGAGGACAGUGGAACUCCAUGUGUAGCGGUGAAAUGCGUAGAUAUAUGGAAGAACACCAGUGGCGAAGGCGGCUGUCUGGUCUGUAACUGACCCUGAGGCUCGAAAGCAUGGGUAGCGAACAGGAUUAGAUACCCUGGUAGUCCA